This 476-nucleotide ribosomal RNA is filed under the name Hindola sp. 3 AJB-2014. RNAcentral's name for it is "partial 16S ribosomal RNA". The stretch from base 349 to 476 matches the Rfam family "Bacterial large subunit ribosomal RNA", at positions 2473 to 2600 of the family's 2925-position model. Lineage: Eukaryota; Metazoa; Arthropoda; Insecta; Hemiptera; Machaerotidae. The record is from RNAcentral.
AUGAUUUUUUAAUGGCUGCGGUAAUUUGACCGUACAAAGGUAGCAUAAUAAUUAGUCUUUUAAUUGGAGUCUGGAAUGAAUGAUUGGAUGAGAAAUUUACUUUCUUUAAUUAUUUAUUUUAAUUUAAUUUUUAAGUGAAAAAGCUUAGAUUUUUUUUUGGGACGAUAAGACCCUAUAGAUCUUUAUUGUUUUUGUUGUUUAUAAAUUUUUAGUUUUUUUAAUUUGUUUAUUUUAGUUAUAAUUUGGUUGGGGUGAUUGUGAAAUUUUUAUGUCUUUUGUUUUUGCUUUCAUUUAUUUUUGAUUAAUUAAGAUCUUUUUUUAUUGAUUAUAAGAUAAAGUUACCUUAGGGAUAACAGCGUAAUUUGUUUGUAGAGUUCUUAUCGAUGAAUAAGUUUGCGACCUCGAUGUUGGAUUAAGAUUAGUAAAAGGUGAAGAUUUUUUUUGUUCUAGGUCUGUUCGACCUUUAAAUUCUUACA